GAUGAACGCUGGCGGCGUGCCUAAUACAUGCAAGUCGAGCGAACGGACGAGAAGUUUGCUUCUUUGAUGUUAGCGGCGGACGGGUGUGUAACACGUGGAUAAUCUACUUAUAAGUCUGGGAUCACUUCGGGAAACCGGCGCUAAUACCGGAUAAUCUUUUGCACCGUAUGGUUCAAAAGUGAAAGACGGUCUUGCUGUCACUUAUAGAUGGAUCCGCGCUGCAUUAGCUAGUUGGUACGGUAACGGCUUACCAAGGCAACGAUGCAUAGCCGACCUGAGGGAGUGGUCGGCCACACUGGAACUGAAACACGGUCCAGACUCCUGCGGGAGGCAGCAGUAGGGAAUCUUCCGCAAUAGGCGAAAACCUGACGGAGCAGCGCCGCGUGAGUGAUGAAGGUCUUCGGAUCGUAAAACUCUGUUAUUAGGGAAAAACAUAUGUGUAAGUAACUGUGCACAUCGUGACGGUACCGAAUCAGAAAGCCACGGCUAACUACGUG
Molecule: ribosomal RNA, 497 nt
Filed under: uncultured bacterium
Lineage: Bacteria
Description: partial 16S ribosomal RNA
Rfam family: Bacterial small subunit ribosomal RNA
Source: RNAcentral